ACCGGCGCACGGGUGCGUAACGCGUAUGCAACCUACCUUGGACAGGGGAAUAGCCCAGAGAAAUUUGGAUUAAUGCCCCAUGGUAUUUUAGGAUGGCAUCAUCUUAUUAUUAAAGAUUUAUCGGUUCAAGAUGGGCAUGCGUCCCAUUAGUUAGUUGGUAAGGUAACGGCUUACCAAGACGAUGAUGGGUAGGGGUCCUGAGAGGGAGAUCCCCCACACUGGUACUGAGACACGGACCAGACUCCUACGGGAGGCAGCAGUGAGGAAUAUUGGUCAAUGGGCGCAAGCCUGAACCAGCCAUGCCGCGUGCAGGAUUAAGGCCCUAUGGGUUGUAAACUGCUUUUGUACGGGAAGAAACACCGAUUCGUGAAUCGGCUUGACGGUACCGUAAGAAUAAGGAUCGGCUAACUCCGUGCCAGCAGCCGCGGUAAUACGGAGGAUCCAAGCGUUAUCCGGAAUCAUUGGGUUUAAAGGGUCCGUAGGCGGGCCUGUAAGUCAGUGGUGAAAUCUUUCGGCUCAACCGGAAAAUUGCCAUUGAUACUGCAGGCCUUGAAUUAUUGGGAAGUAACUAGAAUAUGUAGUGUAGCGGUGAAAUGCUUAGAUAUUACAUGGAAUACCGAUUGCGAAGGCAGGUUACUACCAAUACAUUGACGCUGAUGGACGAAAGCGUGGGGAGCGAACAGGAUUAGAUACCCUGGUAGUCCACGCCGU
Molecule: ribosomal RNA, 711 nt
Filed under: uncultured Flavobacterium sp.
Lineage: Bacteria; Pseudomonadati; Bacteroidota; Flavobacteriia; Flavobacteriales; Flavobacteriaceae
Description: bacterial SSU rRNA
Rfam family: Bacterial small subunit ribosomal RNA
Source: RNAcentral